Molecule: ribosomal RNA, 253 nt
Filed under: uncultured bacterium
Lineage: Bacteria
Description: partial 16S ribosomal RNA
Rfam family: Bacterial small subunit ribosomal RNA
Source: RNAcentral
UACAGAGGUCUCAAGCGUUGUUCGGAUUCAUUGGGCGUAAAGGGUGCGUAGGUGGCAUGGUAAGUCGGAUGUGAAAUCCCGGGGCUUAACCCCGGAACUGCAUUCGAUACUGCCAGGCUAGAGUACUGGAGAGGAGAUUGGAAUUUACGGUGUAGCAGUGAAAUGCGUAGAUAUCGUAAGGAAGACCAGUGGCGAAGGCGGACCUCUGGACAGUUACUGACACUGAGGCACGAAGGCCAGGGGAGCAAACGGG